This 387-nucleotide ribosomal RNA is filed under the name uncultured bacterium. Its description in RNAcentral is "bacterial SSU rRNA". It matches the Rfam family "Bacterial small subunit ribosomal RNA", at positions 29 to 413 of the family's 1533-position model. The record is from RNAcentral.
AACGAACGCUGGCGGCGCGCCUAACACAUGCAAGUCGAGCGGUAACAGGAAGUGCUUGCACUUUGCUGACGAGCGGCGGACGGGUGAGUAACGCGUAGGAAUUUGCCUGGUAGAGGGGGAUAGCCCGAAGAAAUUCGGAUUAAUACCGCAUACGCCUUAAGGGGGAAAGCAGGGGAUCUUCGGACCUUGCGCUAUCAGAUAAGCCUGCGUUGGAUUAGCUAGAUGGUGAGGUAAAGGCUCACCAUGGCUACGAUCCAUAGCUGUUCUGAGAGGAUGAUCAGCCACACUGGGACUGAGACACGGCCCAGACUCCUACGGGAGGCAGCAGUGGGGAAUAUUGCACAAUGGGCGCAAGCCUGAUGCAGCCAUGCCGCGUGUGUGAAGUAA